UACGUAGGUGGCAAGCGUUGUCCGGAUUUAUUGGGUUUAAAGGGUGCGUAGGCGGUUCUAUAAGUCAGUGGUGAAAUACGGCAGCUUAACUGUCGAGGUGCCAUUGAUACUGUAGGCUUAGAGUACUGUUGAGGUAGGCGGAAUGGACGGUGUAGCGGUGAAAUGCUUAGAUAUCGUCCAGAACACCGAUAGCGAAGGCAGCUUACUAAAGAGUAACUGACGCUGAGGCACGAAAGUGAGGGGAUCAAACAGG
Molecule: ribosomal RNA, 253 nt
Filed under: uncultured bacterium
Lineage: Bacteria
Description: partial 16S ribosomal RNA
Rfam family: Bacterial small subunit ribosomal RNA
Source: RNAcentral